AGAAGAGUUGGAGAAAAAAAAACGCACUGAUUUAAUGAAAGAAAUAAUGAUUGUUAUUUCUGGCCGCAUUCAACAAAUGGUCUUUAGGCACGACGCCGCUCGGAUUAUUCAGUGUUGCUUAAAAUACGGCUCUAAAGAGCAGCGCUCACUUAUUAUUAGCGAACUUCAAGAGCGUUUUGUUGAGCUUUUUAAGCAGAAAUAUUCCAAAUUUCUCGUACCAAAAAUGCUUAAAUACGG
This is a long non-coding RNA of Zophobas morio, 237 nucleotides long. RefSeq lists it as uncharacterized. The record is from RefSeq and is a predicted model, not a curated record. NCBI's taxonomy places the organism in Eukaryota, Metazoa, Arthropoda, Insecta, Coleoptera, Tenebrionidae. The transcript is spliced from 3 exons.